GAUGAACGCUGGCGGCGUGCUUAACACAUGCAAGUCGAACGGGAAAUAUUUCAUUGAGACUUCGGUGGAUUUGAUUUAUUUCUAGUGGCGGACGGGUGAGUAACGCGUGGGUAACCUGCCUUAUACAGGGGGAUAACAGUCAGAAAUGGCUGCUAAUACCGCAUAAGCGCACAGAGCUGCAUGGCUCAGUGUGAAAAACUCCGGUGGGAUAAGAUGGACCCGCGUUGGAUUAGCUAGUUGGUGGGGUAACGGCCCACCAAGGCGACGAUCCAUAGCCGGCCUGAGAGGGUGAACGGCCACAUUGGGACUGAGACACGGCCCAGACUCCUACGGGAGGCAGCAGUGGGGAAUAUUGCACAAUGGGGGAAACCCUGAUGCAGCGACGCCGCGUGAAGGAAGAAGUAUCUCGGUAUGUAAACUUCUAUCAGCAGGGAAGAUAGUGACGGUACCUGACUAAGAAGCCCCGGCUAACUACGUG
Molecule: ribosomal RNA, 478 nt
Filed under: uncultured bacterium
Lineage: Bacteria
Description: partial 16S ribosomal RNA
Rfam family: Bacterial small subunit ribosomal RNA
Source: RNAcentral